ACUAAGUUUCAACAACGGAUCUCUUGGCUCUCGCAUCGAUGAAGAACGCAGCGAAAUGCGAUAAGUAAUGUGAAUUGCAGAAUUCAGUGAAUCAUCGAAUCUUUGAACGCACCUUGCGCUCCUUGGUAUUCCUUGGAGCAUGCCAGUUUGAGUAUCAUGAAAU
This 163-nucleotide ribosomal RNA is filed under the name Ceratobasidium sp. AG-F. Its description in RNAcentral is "5.8S ribosomal RNA". It matches the Rfam family "5.8S ribosomal RNA". Rfam says of the family: 5.8S ribosomal RNA (5.8S rRNA) is a component of the large subunit of the eukaryotic ribosome. It is transcribed by RNA polymerase I as part of the 45S precursor that also contains 18S and 28S rRNA. Lineage: Eukaryota; Fungi; Basidiomycota; Agaricomycetes; Cantharellales; Ceratobasidiaceae. The record is from RNAcentral.